GACGAACGCUGGCGGCGUGCUUAACACAUGCAAGUCGAACGGAAAGGCCCUGCUUUUGUUGGGUGCUCGAGUGGCGAACGGGUGAGUAACACGUGAGUAACCUGCCCUUGACUUUGGGAUAACUUCAGGAAACUGGGGCUCAUACCGGAUAGGAGCUCCUGCUGCAUGGUGGGGGUUGGAAAGUUUCGGCGGUUGGGGAUGGACUCGCGGCUUAUCAGCUUGUUGGUGGGGUAGUGGCUUACCAAGGCUUUGACGGGUAGCCGGCCUGAGAGGGUGACCGGCCACAUUGGGACUGAGAUACGGACCAGACGCCUACGGGAGGCAGCAGUGGGGAAUAUUGCACAAUGGGCGGAAGCCUGAUGCAGCAACGCCGCGUGCGGGAUGACGGCCUUCGGGUUGUAAACCGCUUUCGCCUGUGACGAAGCGUGAGUGACGGUAAUGGGUAAAGAAGCACCGGCUAACUACGUG
Molecule: ribosomal RNA, 468 nt
Filed under: uncultured bacterium
Lineage: Bacteria
Description: partial 16S ribosomal RNA
Rfam family: Bacterial small subunit ribosomal RNA
Source: RNAcentral